This 5265-nucleotide long non-coding RNA is filed under the name Triticum aestivum (bread wheat). RNAcentral describes it as "long non-coding RNA (TAES_LNC000883)". Lineage: Eukaryota; Viridiplantae; Streptophyta; Magnoliopsida; Poales; Poaceae. The record is from RNAcentral.
UUUUUUUUUGAGGUGUUAUUGAUUAGUUUCUCCUGAAAGAAAGUACUACUGUACUAGGCUUUCUUUUUUUUACACAAAGUACUACUGUAUUUUCGGCCCACUGCCUUGUUGGGGCGAGUAAUAAUAAGCAGGCUAACGUGGCUUUGGGCCACCCGCUUUCGGCCUGCCUGUUUUCCCCGAUACGAUAAACGGUAGACGGCCUAGGGUUAUCGUAAUGACAACUGAUCGUCGUCAAGCCGCCGCGCCGCCUGAGGAGAUGGCGGGGAGCUCGCCGUUCUUCGCCGCCUUCACCGGGAGCGUUGCUGAUGGACACGUCGCGCGCCGGGGGCUCGGAACCCCUCUGGUUUGUCGCGCGCCCUGAAUCUCUCGCGUAGAUUACAAUUGCAGACAGGAGCAGAUGAUCAGCUGCCUAAUCUUCAUUGACGAUGAUUGAGCCAAUCGUAACAGUAGGCAAUCUCUGCGAGGGGGUCGGCCCACAUUGCCGGCGCGGAGGAUUUCGCGAGCCCGUCGCUCUGGGCCUCGGGAGCGGCCUGCUCUGCUCGUGCCGGACCCUAGCUAUAAAAUGCCGGCGAAUCCCCAACCCUAACCCUCCUUUCAUUUCCGAAUUCCGAUCCUUCUUCCGGCGGCAGCGAACGCCCACUGCUCGAGCCUAGCAAGAAGCUUCCUUCAAGGUACGGAGCUGUUUCUCUGCGUCCCCGAUAGUUCAUGUCCGGGGAUCUUAUAGCUAGACCUCACUCUCAUUGUAAGGUAGGACUAGAUCCAAGUGGAAACAUUUGCUUAUCCCAUAUGAUGUAACCACAAAUGUUACUGUUCUUCACCAUUUUGCUUGCGGGCGAGAGAGGGGUUGAGGAUGGGCAACCGACCUGUUGGAAGCUAGUCGUUGAGCUUUUUCUGUAAAUAAAAAAGCUAGCUGGACAAAAGCAUCGAUCUGCUGUCAACUUUAGAUUGAGGGGGUACUGAGUCUGCAUAUUCUUUUUGUUGUUAUUAAGAUCGAUUGGCUGCAUCUGUAGCGUCAGUGCCUGGUUGUCUGAUUUCAUAUUGGCCUGUUGUAAGUUCUGUACCAGUAGAUGAUAUUAAUUGAGAAGUGCAUAUUCACCUUAUCUCUUCAGUGUACAGAACUUAGUGAACCAUGUACUGUAUUUUCAUGACCUCGUGAGACCUGAAGAAAAAACCGACUGCCAAAAAAAAAGAACUGCAGAAAAAAUCAGAAAAUUCGCUAAAGCAUGUCAAGGUGCCUUUCCUUUGUGGGGCUCUCAAAUGGGAAAGUAAAGUUUGAGUUAAGAUCUAAUUCCCCCUGAUGAGACGGCACGAGUGAGCCCACCGUAAGCCUCACACCCCCGAAAAGUGUCGCUGCGGGGGCACCCUUUAACUAGUCACCCUCAGUAAAACCAUCCCCAUUGCUCCCCAUUAAUAAUGUGCCUUGGAAGUGGAAGACCGGCUUGGACACGUUUCGAUCGAGGCCCUAUGAAUAAGAUGGAGUCCAUCUAUCCUGUGGCCGCCAACCCUAACUCUUCUUCUACUUCUGAUCGAUCUCUCCUACCAGCAAGAAUCUUUGUUGACUCAUCUUCGGAAGGAACAUAAGUACGGGGCAGUUUUUUCCUCUUGCCUACCUCUGCUAUUAGUUUUGUUCAUAUUCGGCGAUCUCUAGCUAGAGUGAAUUGUUAGCCAGUGUACAGGUAGGGUGUACUAUAUUAUCUAUAUAUGAUCUUAGGAUAUUGUAUUGGAUAGAUGCAGCAUGGAAUAAAUGUUCGUCAUCUUACUUGCCAAAGAUAAGAAUACAUCUACAGAGCGUAUGGUCGAUGGAGUAUAUAUAUCCUCCAAUUAGAUAGGAAAUUCUUGUUAGUUAGAUUAUUUUUCACAUACAUAACGGAAUAACAAGAUUUCUCAUCCAACUUCUGUGGCCAGUUUGAAGUGUUUGACAUCUUUUUUGGUGUAAAUAAAAGCGGGACGAAAUUAAGCAUCUGCUGUAAAUAUGACUUCUUGCGGGAUGGAAAUUAAGGCUGCAUGCAUAUUUAGUUUUUGGGAUAUUUAUUAGGAUGGAUUUGCAUUUUUUGUCAAAUUCACAUGUCGUCAAAAUAUAGCCAGUCUGGGUACCCGCAUGAAUACUCUGAUAUCUUCUCUUGAGUUAGUCCUCUUGGCUGACUUGGCAUUCACAUGUCUUCCAUUAGAAAGUGUUAUUAGUGUUACUAGCCAGUUAACUGCGAAGUGGACAUUCACUUUAUCUCUUCAAUGUAAUAUACAGAGCUGAGUGAAGCCUGCAUUAUACUCAAAACUAUACUUUGCAUGCUAGGCUUAGUGCGACACAUUGUUAACUGUAAACAAGACAAGUAUUUACGCAGUAGAUUUCUACCAUUUAAUUAUAGUGGGUGGGUGGCGGCGACAUAGGGGACACAGAGCUGGGGGUUAUCUAGCUGGGUGAAAGCAUUGAUCCGCUAUUAACUUUAGCUGUCGGGGGGAAUUGAGGCUGGAUAGUCUUUUUUUGUUUAAGAUUGAUUGACUGUAUCUGUAAAGUCAGUGUCUUGUUAGCUGAUUUGGGAUUCGCUGGUUCCAUAUGAGUGGAAGUGCUGGUCAGUUAAUUGGGAAGUACAUAAUCAAUUCAUCUCUUCAGUGUACAGAACUGAGUGAACCAUGUACCGUAUUUUAAUGACUCUUCAAGAAUGCUAGGCUUAGUAUGACACCUUGGUCUGUAGAAACAAUACGCAGUAGAAUUCUGUUGUUUCUUCCAACUUUUUGUAAUCAUUGAUGUUAAAUAACACUGUAUAAAACUUAAUUCGUGCUAUUUGCUUUGCUCAUUCAGAAUGUACGUCUUGGUCAAGAGCCCGGCCGGCAGGACGACCCGCCUGAGGGUCCACCCAUCAGAUACCGUGCAUGCUGUCAAGGCAAAGAUCCAGGAACAGGUCACCCUCGUCUUCAAUGGGGUGCAGCUAGAUGACAACCUUACACUGGCCGAUUACAACAUUCAGCAUGAAUCCACCCUUGACCAUCAGGAGAAAAUGAAGAUCUUCGUGACCGAGACGGUGGCGGUCAGGACCAUCACUAUCGAGGUCAACAGGCUAGACACUGUCAAUGACUUAAGAGCCAAGAUCCAGGAGCUUGAGGGCUUCCCGAAGGCUCAGCAGUGCCUUGUCUUUGCCAACAAGCGGCUGGACGAUGGGAACCGCACCAUGGCUGACCACAACAUUGGCAAUGAGUCCACCCUUCUCCUCGUCCUCCUCCCGUGUAUUUCGAGAGGAGACAUGAUGCAGAUCUUUGUGAAGACUCUACAAGGAAAGAGCAUCAGCCUCAAGGUUGGGAGCUUGGAUACAGUCGACAGUGUCAAGGUGAAGAUCUACGAGAUGAAGCACGCCCCAUACCCGAAACUGCAGCGCUUCGUGUAUGCUCACAGGUAGCUGGAGGGCAGCAGCACCCUCGCUGACUGCAAUGUUCAAUGGGGAUCUACCAUUUAUUUGAUCUACCGUCUGGGUUGUUGCGAUACAUGGCCUGCCAUCGUACAAUGAGUUCUAUUCUGCUGCAGUCGAACUUCCAGUAUUGGUGUGCCGUAAAACUACCAUUCUAGUGCGUUACUAUAUGUUGCUCGAGUAUUGUUCAUUUCCAGCAGUGGUGUGGUGAGUUAUUAGGAAAACUGGGUACUAUUAUUUAGUAGUAUGUUAAUGUGAUGAGUACUCCUUUUAUCUAUCUAAAUAUGAAGAACUUCUAUUAUUGUCAUGUUCGGUUAAACAUUCUUUUGGAGAGGAUUGGAGAGGUAUGGAUGCAAUUGAUGUUGAUUUUGACUUAUAGCAGAUUUAAUCCUCCCCAAUCCUCUAAAAUUCCCUUCAAACCCUUUGCAACCAAACAAGUCUUAAGGGUCGGGUCUGUCUUGGCAUCAGUUGGAUUGCAAAAUACAGUCUGAAUGCAGUUUCACCAAACAUAGACUCCAUUGUUUCUUUUUCAGAUACCCUUUUUGUGUUUAUUCAUGUUUUCCUAUAUAAGAUAUUGUCACACAGAUCUUGUGAACCGCAUGAAGGUCACAUCAAGCUCGAAUUGGGACUGGAAAACAGAGUUGGGAGUCUUGUCAAUAUCUCUGGUAACAAAAUAUGAAGAAACAAAUUCCAAGUGAAGAGAAUUUUUUUUUUGGUACUGCAGAUAAAAAAUCAGAAGAAUAAAACUAUUUGAGUAGUCAAUAGUUUUUCUACGAUAAUGUACUUCCUUGUUUUUUGGACCUCUUUAUAUUGGUAGGGUCUGGGAUUGCAAGAAGAAACUGACGAGUUUGCAUGGUAACUCCAUGGUUAAGAAGAUAAGAAAAGGCUUGAAGAAACAGACACCGCCACAUUUUUCAAUCCAAUCAUGGCAUAUCUUGAAUGAAAACUAAAUAAGAAGAAGAAAAGGAGCCACAAACACAUGACAGCAGCUAGCAGUUUUAGCACAGAUUUCAGACUCUGAAACGUAUCAUUUAUAUAUAAAAGAGUGCAGACAUCGAUCUAUUCUCGCACCAUACGUCGAUACGCGUCAUGCAUGCAUCGAUCUAGCAUUACUGAUAUACAUACCAUCACUGCAGCAUGUACACUAAUUGACCAUAAUUAGUGCCACACUGAUCAAUUAUUAGCUAGAGUUGUAGAUAGAGUACUGGAAGAAGAUGCAGAGCGGCACGGUGACCACUAACGGAUCAAGGGGGGGCUAUCACUAGCCGCGAGCCCGAGUGCGCCGACCCCUGCAAAGAAGAAGACGCAGGAUGUGUUGGACGACGAAGUUGGCCCUGUGGUCGUGCAGGAGGCUGGGGCAGCUGCCGACUGCGACGGCGGCCGCAGAGUCGAAGGCGCCCUCGAGGUGGCUGUAGGUGAGCACGCUGACGGCGUGCGCGAAGGCCGCCAACGCCCAGGCGACUUUGAAGUGCAGCCGCCUCCAGCUGCAGGCGUCCGGCGCGAAGGCGGCCACCGUGGCCGCCGCUGCCUGGGCGCCGGAGGAGAGCAGCAGCAUCAGCCCGCCCGUGCGCAUCAUCACCGCGUCCGCCUCGGUGGCCGCGCUCGCCGCCAUGGUGCGUCCGCUCGGGGUGGAGGGUGGCGACGAACAGGCCGAAGGCGGCGGCCGCCAAGCCGAGCACGACGUGCGCCCUCGCCACCGCCCGAAUGAACCACAUCGCCGCCCUGUCAGCAUCUCCACCUGCAGCACCGACAGCAGCAACGGCAGGAGCUCCUCCACUAGCCUCCAUCGCCAGCGCCGCACCAGAAAGAGGAAGUAGCUGCGGGUGUGGCCUCUGUGUGUGGGUGUGUGUGGAGUGUGUAUCGGAUU